This 932-nucleotide long non-coding RNA is filed under the name Erythranthe guttata (spotted monkey flower). RNAcentral describes it as "long non-coding RNA (EGUT_LNC000027)". Lineage: Eukaryota; Viridiplantae; Streptophyta; Magnoliopsida; Lamiales; Phrymaceae. The record is from RNAcentral.
UCAACCUGGAAUAUUAAGGAAAUAAACUAUUCAAAUCUGAACACGGUACCAGUUUGUUACCUUGAGUUGUCUUUCUGUGAAUAUAUUCAGGCAGGCGCACGGCCAUAAUCACGGGGAAGAAGGCGCAUCCACCAGUUACCAUUUUCACCUUCCUGUAUUUGAGAACAAUGAUAAACCACACAAGGUAAAAUCAUCUAGAAGCAACAAAAUAUCAAAAAAAAUGGUUGAAUAUUAUCAAUUAUGUUCAAGGAAGAAACCGAGUAAGAUUACCUUUUGCUCGUCUUCACUCUUCAAUACCGAGGGAGCUAUCCAUGGCCAGCCGCUUAUACAUAGUUGAGAUGGAAACGGAUUUAGACCUGGAAGGAAAACGAAAAUUCGAAUAGUGUAUAUUUUGUAACACCAAAAUCAUUUUUUUUUACGAUUCUAGAAAUAGAUUUCAUAAGCAUUACUGCAUUGAUAAAACUGUGAGCACGUCAGCUGCAAGACACUUACCUGAAGAUUUUCCAGAGCACAACUAGUCUUUACGCUUCUAUCUCGGUCCACAAUAGAGGCAUAAGUGGCCAACAACAAACGAAAUCUUGAAACAACAAAAAACAAAGAGAUGGAUAAAUUUGUAACAAUAAUUAGUAAAGAGAUGGAAAUUUCAAAAGCAAGUCUAAUAUAGCAUAAUGUUCUUUGUGCAAGUAAUUUGGUUUUGCUGGACUAGUCGAGUGACUUCGUUCCUACUACAUGAUCAGAUCCACCGUUUUCCCCACUGUCUUCGAGCCCUCCCAUGGGCAGACUAGUCAACAUGCAAAACUUGUACCGUCGUAGUGUGAACAAACUUUGUAGCCAUAAUAUUGAAGAGAUUUCGAAACAAUAAUUGGUGAAGAUUUUGCUUGCUGUCACUUUUGCUCCAUUGGUUUUGUUGUGUCUAGACUUGCAAAUUAAUU